Molecule: long non-coding RNA, 674 nt
Organism: Triticum aestivum (bread wheat)
Lineage: Eukaryota; Viridiplantae; Streptophyta; Magnoliopsida; Poales; Poaceae
Exons: 3
Source: RefSeq, a predicted model, not a curated record
GCCGCCGCUGUUCAUCUGAGCGCUGAGACGCCGCCGCUGCUAUUCAUCUGAGCGGUAAGACGCCGCCGGUGCAACCGCCCACUGCAUCUUCUCCCCCACCCGGCCACCCCCGACGCCGACUCCUGCGGCGGCUGGCAUCUCCCGCAUCUCCUCCCUCGCCUUCGCACUGACCGCCGACCGUCGCGCCGUCGCUGGACUCGCUGCACGCAAGGAAGGAGAGGAUCGAGGAGGACAUGGACCCGCCGUCGCCCAUCCGUCCGCCCAGCGCCCACCCACCUUCGAUUCUAGCUUCGAGCUUUCGACAUCAUCCCAACUCUCCACAUUGGCAACUCAGCGGGCGACCGUCUGUCCACCUCGGCAUCUCGGCGUCGUCGUCUCCACCGAGACAAUUUAACUCUUCAAAAAUGGAGAUAUUAUAAUGACGCGAAUGAUUGUUGGGUCCACCAGAAUUUUCAGGAGGUGAUAGAAGUUGUGGUUAAUACCAACAAUCAAAUGGAAUAUGCAGACUAGACAAUUCUGUGGCAGAGGAAGCUAAUAUUCCUUUAAAAAUGUGGAAGAUACUAAUGGAUAUGAAAGUAGAUUUGAUAUGCAAGAUGGUGUAUCUGUAGUACUCUGUACUAAGGUUGAAAACUUGUUUAUGUAAAUUUGCGUUCAAAUCUGUUUUUGUUGUUAAU